Molecule: ribosomal RNA, 497 nt
Filed under: uncultured bacterium
Lineage: Bacteria
Description: partial 16S ribosomal RNA
Rfam family: Bacterial small subunit ribosomal RNA
Source: RNAcentral
GAUGAACGCUGGCGGCGUGCCUAAUACAUGCAAGUCGAUCGAACGGACGAGAAGCUUGCUUUUCUGAUGUUAGCGGCGGACGGGUGAGUAACACGUGGAUAACCUACCUAUAAGACUGGGAUAACUUCGGGAAACCGGAGCUAAUACCGGAUAAUCUUUUGCACCGCAUGGUUCAAAAGUGAAAGACGGUCUUUCUGUCACUUAUAGAUGGAUCCGCGCUGCAUUAGCUAGUUGGUAAGGUAACGGCUUACCAAGGCAACGAUGCAUAGCCGACCUGAGAGGGUGAUCGGCCACACUGGAACUGAGACACGGUCCAGACUCCUACGGGAGGCAGCAGUAGGGAAUCUUCCGCAAUGGGCGAAAGCCUGACGGAGCAACGCCGCGUGAGUGAUGAAGGUCUUCGGAUCGUAAAACUCUGUUAUUAGGGAAGAACAUAUGUGUAAGUAACUGUGCACAUCUUGACGGUACCUAAUCAGAAAGCCACGGCUAACUACGUG